This 253-nucleotide ribosomal RNA is filed under the name uncultured bacterium. RNAcentral describes it as "partial 16S ribosomal RNA". It matches the Rfam family "Bacterial small subunit ribosomal RNA", at positions 524 to 776 of the family's 1533-position model. The record is from RNAcentral.
UACGAAGGGGGCAAGCGUUGUUCGGAAUUACUGGGCGUAAAGGGCGCGUAGGCGGCUUAUCAAGUCAGGCGUGAAAUUCCCGGGCUCAACCUGGGGGCUGCGCUUGAUACUGAUUGGCUUGAAUGCGGGAGAGGAUAGUGGAAUUCCCAGUGUAGAGGUGAAAUUCGUAGAUAUUGGGAAGAACACCGGUGGCGAAGGCGGCUAUCUGGCCCGUAAUUGACGCUGAGGAGCGAAAGCGUGGGGAGCGAACAGG